Non-coding RNA from Cinara cedri, 232 nucleotides. The record is from the annotation of a GenBank genome assembly. NCBI's taxonomy places the organism in Eukaryota, Metazoa, Arthropoda, Insecta, Hemiptera, Aphididae.
GGUCAAAGUUUCUGUUUAUGUUUCGAGCGAUAUUUGAACUAUUGCGUGGACACGAGGGCGAAGUUUGCAGCUUUCGAUGUACUAAUACGCGUGGAAAUAAUAAAAUACAAAAUUUCGGUUUGAAUGUGCCAACGUCACAUAAAAUAUUCUAUGCUUAAUGGUGUUGCUAAAAAGGUAUACACAUUCAAUCGUGUGUCCCGAAAUCCGAGAUUGAACCAGAGAUUCCACGCCC